This is a long non-coding RNA of Apis cerana (Asiatic honeybee), 1468 nucleotides long. RefSeq lists it as uncharacterized. Lineage: Eukaryota; Metazoa; Arthropoda; Insecta; Hymenoptera; Apidae. The record is from RefSeq and is a predicted model, not a curated record.
GUAACCGAUUCUCUUAGUAACUCGCAAAGCGCUCGAAGCAGGACGCUUUAGUCAUUUUUUAACGCAUUUUUCGCGGUCCCGUUACCUUUCCUUUCGCUCGCGAUCUCUUCCUCUUUUCAACCAAAAGAAAACGUUUUUACGAAUCUAAGAACAACUAGGUCAUGCGCCAUGUACAUCUAACGACUUUUUAUCUCGCAACGAUGCGUCUCUUUAACGACCAUUGCCGAAAGUGUGAGUAUCGUGCAUAGAACAGUGGAAGAAAGAUGGCGUCGGGCUAUCUGGAAUGCAAUAUACCAAGGAAACGCAAUAUUCUCUAUUGAAAUUAAUAUGGCAGUAUUGCCUUACGAAGCAUCCAAUUAUAAAAAUACAUGCUGUCGCCAUCGAUUACGUAAACGAUGUUUGUAUCGAAGGUUGAUGUAAUCAGGUUGAUUUCAAACAACUCAAUAAACAAAUGAGAAAUGAUCAUUCAUCGGUGAAAAUUACAAAUUGGAAAAUGAAAGAUUUCUUUCGUUUACAGUUAUUAUGGAAAAAUUUCGAUUAUUUCAACGCUAAUAUAUUAUCUUUGAAAAUUUUGAAACAAAACUGAUACCACGGGAAUAGAUGAAUUAAGAUCCGCAAUAGAAGCAACACGAACCGUGUGCCAUAAAUGUUAACAGGAGAGCGAUAACUCUUGCCGAAGAAACACCAGAGUCGCGAGUAAUUUUCUACGGGUCAUAAAUUUCCUAACACGGAUAGUUUACUGGCCGUGACUAAAUUCACCUGUAAUCCCCAAAAGUCCAAAGAAGAACAAAUAAGAAAUGAGAGCACAACAUUAAACUUGAAAAGGUAUGUAGGAGAAAGAGAGAGAGAGAGAAGAUGGUAAAGCAAAUGUCUCGUGUCGAGCUAAUAAUAAUGGACAGAGUUGAUUGAUUCAAUGAGUACCACUGUUCUCGGUUAAUUAUCGUGACUCUUGUUAUCCCAUUAUCGUCGUUAGAUAGUAUCGGAAGGGAGGAACAACUCCUUUGCGGGUUGCCGACUGUCGGUUUGCAGGAUGCACGCGUAGCGGCGGCCGUGCAUUCGCUAUCUUACUACUUGGAGGCUGUGAAACUCAUCCUGCCCGAAUAAUCGCCGUUUCGGACGAUUACGUAAAUGAGAAACGAUGAUGAGAACAUUACGCGCGUAUACGCGUUGCGAAACGCGCCAAUUUUGGCUGACAUUGUUUAAAUUUGUGAUUCCCGCCAAACAUAAUCAUUGUAAAUUAUUCACGCUUAAUAAUUCUUUUGAAUUCUUUUUUUUUUGCAUUAAAUCGAAUAAUUACCGUAAAAAAUAUAACGAAAUAAUAGAAAUAAGGAAUGUAUAAAAAAUCAGAUUUUUAAAAUAAUGACAGUCUUAUUAGCAAGCUAUGUAAAUUAUAUUUUUUUAUAUCGAUCAUUAUACAUAAUUUUAUAUAAUUUUAAACAAUAUAUAAUAAAUAUUAUAAUGUCAAAAA